This 402-nucleotide ribosomal RNA is filed under the name uncultured bacterium. RNAcentral's name for it is "bacterial SSU rRNA". It matches the Rfam family "Bacterial small subunit ribosomal RNA", at positions 355 to 774 of the family's 1533-position model. The record is from RNAcentral.
UUAGGAAUAUUGGACAAUGGGCGAAAGCCUGAUCCAGCCAUGCCGCGUGAGUGAUGAAGGCCCUAGGGUUGUAAAGCUCUUUCACCGGUGAAGAUAAUGACGGUAACCGGAGAAGAAGCCCCGGCCAACUUCGUGCCAGCAGCCGCGGUAAUACGAAGGGGGCUAGCGUUGUUCGGAAUCACUGGGCGUAAAGCGCACGUAGGCGGAUACUUAAGUCAGGGGUGAAAUCCCGGGGCUUAACCCCGGAACUGCCUUUGAUACUGGGUGUCUAGAGUCCGGAAGAGGUGAGUGCAAUUCCGAGUGUAGAGGUGAAAUUCGUAGAUAUUCGGAGGAACACCAGUGGCGAAGGCGGCUCACUGGUCCGGUACUGACGCUGAGGUGCGAAAGCGUGGGGAGCAAACA